Molecule: ribosomal RNA, 465 nt
Filed under: uncultured bacterium
Lineage: Bacteria
Description: partial 16S ribosomal RNA
Rfam family: Bacterial small subunit ribosomal RNA
Source: RNAcentral
GACGAACGCUGGCGGCGUGCUUAACACAUGCAAGUCGAACGGAAAGGCCUUGUUAGCUGGCUCUUGCGGGGGGCAAGGGGUGGGUAACUGGGGGAUACUUUGCCAUCCACUUCGGCUUAGGCGGGGAAAAAGGGAUCUAUUCCCGAAUAGCGGCUAUUUUUGGGUGGUUGGUUGAAAGGUUUUUUGGUGGUAGGUUGAGUUGGCGGCCUAUUGGCUGGUUGGGGGGUUAAUGGCUUACAAGGCCGCCAAGGCGUAGCGGGCUUGCGGGGGUGAACGGCCACACUGGGACUGAGAUGCGGCCCAGACUCCUACGGGAGGCAGCAGUGGGGAAUAUUGCACAAUGGGCGCAAGCCUGAUGCAGCGAGGCCGCGUGUGGGAUGACGCUCUUCGGGUUGUAGACUCCUUGCGCUAGGGACGAAGCUUUUUGUGACGGUACCUAGAGAAGAAGCACCGGCUAACUACGUG